GUAUGUGUGUGUGUGUGUGUGUGUGUGUGUGUGAUAGUGAGAGAGGGAGAGAUAGAGAGAGAAAGAGAGAAAGUGCAGAUAUUGUUAUAGCAUUAAAUGUGAACACAUUCAUUCAUUCCACAGAUAAAUGAGUCUAUGUUAAUUGGUUUCUUGUGUCUCCUUGAGUUUAUAGACAACACACACACAGACCUCCAUCUCCAGUGCCCAGCUGUGUGUCCAUGAAGAGUGACCGGUCCAUGCCUUUACCUCUUAACUUCAGCAGUGAACCAGUUCCAUCAGGUCUUAAACGACACUCACACAGACCUCCAUCUCCAGUGCCCAGCUGUGUGUCCAUGAAGAGUGACCGGUCCAUGCCUUUACCUCUUAACUUCAGCAGUGAACUAGUUGCAUCCAUUCUAAAACGACACACACACAGACCUCCAUCUCCAGUGCCCAGCUGUGUGUCCAUGAAGAGUAAUCGGUCCAUGCCUUUACCUCUUAACUUCAGCAGUGAACCAGUUCCAUCAGGUCUUAAGUGAGUAGUUUUUAUAUUCAGACAUUUCAGUGAUGUCACAUGCAAUUAUUGACACA
This is a long non-coding RNA of Clupea harengus (Atlantic herring), 570 nucleotides long. NCBI's taxonomy places the organism in Eukaryota, Metazoa, Chordata, Actinopteri, Clupeiformes, Clupeidae. The record is from Ensembl.